AUCAUAUCAGUCCGUCCCAAAUUACUUGUCGCAGAAAUGGAUGUAUCUAGACGUAUUUUUAGUUCUAGAUACAUCUAUUUCUAUCCAUUUCGCCAACAAGUAAUUUGGGACGGAGCGAGUAUUAA
This is a non-coding RNA of Triticum urartu, 125 nucleotides long. The record is from Rfam. Lineage: Eukaryota; Viridiplantae; Streptophyta; Magnoliopsida; Poales; Poaceae.